RNAcentral lists this ribosomal RNA (253 nucleotides) under uncultured bacterium. RNAcentral describes it as "partial 16S ribosomal RNA". It matches the Rfam family "Bacterial small subunit ribosomal RNA", at positions 524 to 776 of the family's 1533-position model. The record is from RNAcentral.
UACAGAGGUCUCAAGCGUUGUUCGGAUUCAUUGGGCGUAAAGGGUGCGUAGGUGGCGGGGUAAGUCAGGUGUGAAAUCCCACGGCUCAACCGUGGAAGUGCACUCGAAACUGGAUGGCUAGAGUCCUGGAGAGGAAGGUGGAAUGCUUGGUGUAGAGGUGAAAUGCGCAGAUAUCAGGAGGAACACCGGUGGCGAAGGCGGUUCUCUGGGCCUUACCUGACGCUGAGGAGCGAAAGCGUGGGGAGCAAACAGG